Molecule: long non-coding RNA, 279 nt
Organism: Oncorhynchus tshawytscha (Chinook salmon)
Lineage: Eukaryota; Metazoa; Chordata; Actinopteri; Salmoniformes; Salmonidae
Source: Ensembl
UGGGAGGAGACCAGGAGAACCAGGACACCAUGGAGUGAUGAAGAGAACACCCUCCUCUCCCUCUGUCCCUCUUCAUCUCUCUCUCUCUGUCUACAUGGGAGGAGACCAGGAGAACCAGGACACCAUGGAGUGAUGAAGAGAACACCCUCCUCUCCCUCUGUCCCUCUUCAUCUCUCUCUCUCUCUACAUGGGAGGAGACCAGGAGAACCAGGACACCAUGGAGUGAUGAAGAGAACACCCUCCUCUCCCUCUGUCCCUCUUCAUCUCUCUCUCUGUCUG